ACGUAUCCACGUAUAAACCAUUGUGAACAGUGCCUACCUUGGAGAUGCAAUGAGUCAGUGUGUUGUAGAUAUUCAAGCAGUUUUUUGUAAUUAAACUGUGUCUACGGCGCCAUGGUUGAGUGUUUUCAGACUCUCUCUCAUACUUGUUCAUUUUUCCCAAGUGUAUUUAAUUACUACCUAUUAACCAUUUCAACCAAUCUUUAUAACAUUCUGAACUAACUUAUUUUAUACUCUUCGGAGAUAAAAUUCAUUACGAAACAAAGAACAACUCUUAGCAACGGAUAUCUUGGUUCU
RNAcentral lists this unclassified non-coding RNA (294 nucleotides) under rhizosphere metagenome. RNAcentral describes it as "partial ribosomal RNA internal transcribed spacer region". The record is from RNAcentral.